UACAGAGGCCUCGAGCGUUAGGCGGAAUCACUGGGCUUAAAGCGUGUGUAGGCGGACUUCUAAGUACCUUGUGAAAUCCCACGGCUUACCCGUGGAACGGCUGGGUAUACUGGUUGUCUUGAGCUUACUAGAGGCAGAUGGAAUUCCGGGUGUAGCGGUGGAAUGCGUAGAGAUCCGGAAGAACACCGGUGGCGAAGGCGGUCUGCUGGGGUAAUGCUGACACUGAGGCGCGACAGCGUGGGGAGCAAACAGG
This 253-nucleotide ribosomal RNA is filed under the name uncultured bacterium. RNAcentral describes it as "partial 16S ribosomal RNA". It matches the Rfam family "Bacterial small subunit ribosomal RNA", at positions 524 to 776 of the family's 1533-position model. The record is from RNAcentral.